UACGGAGGAUCCAAGCGUUAUCCGGAAUUACUGGGCGUAAAGAGUUGCGUAGGUGGCAUGACAAGUAGAUAGUGAAAGCGUGUGGCUCAACCAUACAUCCAUUAUCUAAACUGUCAGGCUAGAGUAUGAGAGAGGUAGAUGGAAUUCUCUGUGUAGGAGUGAAAUCCGUAGAUAUAGGGAGGAACACCAAUGGCGUAAGCAGUCUACUGGCUCAUUACUGACACUGAGGCACGAAAGCGUGGGGAGCAAACGGG
Molecule: ribosomal RNA, 254 nt
Filed under: uncultured prokaryote
Description: partial 16S ribosomal RNA
Rfam family: Bacterial small subunit ribosomal RNA
Source: RNAcentral